RNAcentral lists this ribosomal RNA (253 nucleotides) under uncultured bacterium. RNAcentral's name for it is "partial 16S ribosomal RNA". It matches the Rfam family "Bacterial small subunit ribosomal RNA", at positions 524 to 776 of the family's 1533-position model. The record is from RNAcentral.
UACGUAGGGGGCAAGCGUUAUCCGGAUUUACUGGGUGUAAAGGGAGCGUAGACGGCAGAGCAAGUCUGAAGUGAAAGCCCGCGGCCCAACUGCGGGACUGCUUUGGAAACUGCCCGGCUAGAGUGCUGGAGAGGUAAGCGGAAUUCCUAGUGUAGCGGUGAAAUGUGUAGAUAUUAGGAGGAACACCAGUGGCGAAGGCGGCUUACUGGACAGUAACUGACGUUGAGGCUCGAAAGCGUGGGGAGCAAACAGG